This 598-nucleotide ribosomal RNA is filed under the name uncultured bacterium. RNAcentral describes it as "bacterial SSU rRNA". It matches the Rfam family "Bacterial small subunit ribosomal RNA", at positions 338 to 916 of the family's 1533-position model. The record is from RNAcentral.
CCUACGGGAGGCAGCAGUGAGGAAUUUUCCGCAAUGGGCGAAAGCCUGACGGAGCAAUGCCGCGUGGAGGACGAAGGCUCGUGGGUUGUAAACUCCUUUUCUCAGAGAAGAAGCAAUGACGGUAUUUGAGGAAGAAGCAUCGGCUAACUCCGUGCCAGCAGCCGCGGUAAUACGGGGGAUGCAAGCGUUAUCCGGAAUGAUUGGGCGUAAAGCGUCUGUAGGUGGUUGGUGAAGUCUACUGUUAAAGAUUAGGGCUUAACCCUAGGAAGGCAGUAGAAACUCACUAGCUAGAGUACGGUAGGGGCAGGGGGAAUUCCCGGUGUAGCGGUGAAAUGCGGAGAUAUCGGGAAGAACACCAAUGGCGAAAGCACUCUGCUGGGCCGACACUGGCACUGAGAGACGAAAGCUAGGGGAGCAAACGGGAUUAGAUACCCCGGUAGUCCUAGCUGUAAACGAUGGAUACUAAGUGCUGGGCGGUUGUUCUAUACCCGCAAGGGGAUUGGGAUGACACUACAAAACGGCCAGUGCUGUAGCUAACGCGUGAAGUAUCCCGCCUGGGGAGUAUGCUCGCAAGAGUGAAACUCAAAGGAAUUGACGG